UCGCCUGUUUAUCAAAAACAUCUCUCUUUGUUUUUCUUAAAGAGUAGGCCCUGCCCGGUGCGGCGAACGUAAACGGAAUUUUUUUUUAAAGUAGCGUAAUAAAUUGGCCUUUAAUUGGGGUCUGGAAUGAAGGGGUUGACGUGGGAAGGCUGUCUCAAAGGGAGUGCUUGAAAUUUUCUUUCUAGUGAAAAGCCUGGGAUAUACUUAAAAGACGAGAAGACCCCGUCGAGCUUGAUUAACUUUUAAAAUUUUACAAAAAAUUUAAAGUGAAGGUUUGUUGGGGCAACAGUUGAGAAAUUAAACCUCUUAAACUUUAACAAAGAUCCACUUUUAGUGAUAAAAGGAAAAAGCUACCGCGGGGAUAACAGCGCAAGAUAGCCAGAGAGUUCUUAUCGAAGGCUGUAUUUGUGACCUCGAUGUUGGAUUAGAGCAAACCUCUUGGCGCAGAAGUUAAAGUAGGUGGGACUGUUCGUCCUUUAAUUCUCUACAUGAUCUGAGU
This 499-nucleotide ribosomal RNA is filed under the name Keenocardium blandum. RNAcentral describes it as "partial 16S ribosomal RNA". It matches the Rfam family "Bacterial large subunit ribosomal RNA", at positions 1796 to 2610 of the family's 2925-position model. Lineage: Eukaryota; Metazoa; Mollusca; Bivalvia; Cardiida; Cardiidae. The record is from RNAcentral.